GAAGAUUUAGUUAAAUUUAUAUAACAUUAGCUUGUCAUGCUAAAAUAGUCCUUAGACAAUUCUCU
Molecule: transfer RNA, 65 nt
Filed under: Leucolepas longa
Lineage: Eukaryota; Metazoa; Arthropoda; Thecostraca; Neolepadidae
Description: tRNA-Asp
Source: RNAcentral